This 450-nucleotide ribosomal RNA is filed under the name uncultured bacterium. RNAcentral's name for it is "partial 16S ribosomal RNA". It matches the Rfam family "Bacterial small subunit ribosomal RNA", at positions 354 to 796 of the family's 1533-position model. The record is from RNAcentral.
GUGGGGAAUCUUCCGCAAUGGACGAAAGUCUGACGGAGCAACGCCGCGUGAGUGAAGAAGGUUUUCGGAUCGUAAAGCUCUUUCGUUAGGGACGAACGUGCUCUUUGUGAAUAAUGAGGAGUAAUGACGGUACCUAAAUAAGAAGCCACGGCUAACUACGUGCCAGCAGCCGCGGUAAUACGUAGGUGGCAAGCGUUGUCCGGAAUUAUUGGGCGUAAAGCGCGCGCAGGCGGGAUAUCAAGGCUGUCUUAAAAGUGCGAGGCUCAACCUCGUGAGGGGACAGAAACUGGUAUUCUUGAGUGUCGGAGAGGAAAGUGGAAUUCCAAGUGUAGCGGUGAAAUGCGUAGAGAUUUGGAAGAACACCAGUGGCGAAGGCGACUUUCUGGACUGUAACUGACGCUGAGGCUCGAAAGCCAGGGGAGCGAACGGGAUUAGAUACCCUAGUAGUCC